CCGUUCAGGCCCGGCCCGUUCAGGCGCGGCCGGUUCAGGUCCGGCCGGUUCAGGUCCGGCCGGUUCAGGUCCGGCCGAAUCGC
RNAcentral lists this transfer RNA (83 nucleotides) under Actinoplanes utahensis. RNAcentral's name for it is "tRNA-Leu". Lineage: Bacteria; Bacillati; Actinomycetota; Actinomycetes; Micromonosporales; Micromonosporaceae. The record is from RNAcentral.